AUUGAACGCUGGCGGCAUGCUUUACACAUGCAAGUCGAACGGUAACAGGCCGCCAGGUGCUGACGAGUGGCGAACGGGUGCGUAAUGCAUCGGAACGUGCCCAGUCGUGGGGGAUAACUACUCGAAAGAGUAGCUAAUACCGCAUACGAUCUAUGGAUGAAAGCGGGGGACCGUAAGGCCUCGCGCGAUUGGAGCGGCCGAUGUCAGAUUAGGUAGUUGGUGGGGUAAAGGCUCACCAAGCCAACGAUCUGUAGCUGGUCUGAGAGGACGACCAGCCACACUGGGACUGAGACACGGCCCAGACUCCUACGGGAGGCAGCAGUGGGGAAUUUUGGACAAUGGGCGCAAGCCUGAUCCAGCAAUGCCGCGUGCAGGAAGAAGGCCUUCGGGUUGUAAACUGCUUUUGUACGGAACGAAACGGCUCUGGUUAAUACCCGGGGCUAAUGACGGUACCGUAAGAAUAAGCACCGGCUAACUACGU
RNAcentral lists this ribosomal RNA (481 nucleotides) under uncultured bacterium. RNAcentral describes it as "partial 16S ribosomal RNA". It matches the Rfam family "Bacterial small subunit ribosomal RNA", at positions 30 to 506 of the family's 1533-position model. The record is from RNAcentral.